Long non-coding RNA from Trichomycterus rosablanca, 199 nucleotides. RefSeq lists it as uncharacterized. The transcript has 2 exons. NCBI's taxonomy places the organism in Eukaryota, Metazoa, Chordata, Actinopteri, Siluriformes, Trichomycteridae. The record is from RefSeq and is a predicted model, not a curated record.
AACCGUACCUAUCUGUUUUGUUUUCCUUAUACUGCUGCUACUUCUCACACGAUCUCCCUGCAUCAGCAAGACAGCGACAUCUGUAGAUCCGGAAAUUACAGAUCAGUGUCAGGAGGCAGGAGAUCAGCAGUCAAUUAUGGCAGGACAAAACAUUUUUAUAAUAAAUAAAAAUACUUGAAAUAAAAUAUUGAAAAAUGUG